GUGCUUGCUUUGGCAGCACAUAUACUAAAAUUGGAACAAUACAGAAAAGAUUAGCAUGGCCCCUGUACAAAGAUGACAUGCAAAUUCAUGAAGCAUUCCAUAUUUUU
Molecule: small nuclear RNA, 107 nt
Filed under: Pteropus alecto (black flying fox)
Lineage: Eukaryota; Metazoa; Chordata; Mammalia; Chiroptera; Pteropodidae
Source: RNAcentral